CGUGUAGGCGGCAUGACAAGUCUGGUGUGAAAUAUCUCGGCUCAACCGAGAAAACGCACUGGAAACUGUCAAGCUUGAGUAUCGGAGGGGAAGCUAGAAUUCCUGGUGUAGGGGUGAAAUCUGUAGAUAUCAGGAAGAAUACCGGUGGCGAAGGCGAGCUUCUGGCCAGAUACUGACGCUGAGAUGCGAAAGCGUGGGGAGCGAACAGGAUUAGAUACCCUGGUAGUCC
RNAcentral lists this ribosomal RNA (229 nucleotides) under uncultured bacterium. RNAcentral's name for it is "partial 16S ribosomal RNA". It matches the Rfam family "Bacterial small subunit ribosomal RNA", at positions 568 to 796 of the family's 1533-position model. The record is from RNAcentral.